UCAAGGCCACGGGUCGACCGGCUCCGAAAACGGAGUGAUCGGCGGCAGUGUUACUCAGAACUUCGGAGUGGGAGGUGACAUUCUUUUUCCUUUUCAAUUUUCAUUCGCUUCUCUGAAAAUGGCAAUUAGGAAUCCAGAUAUUAAGUAUACUAAGCUCUUCAUCAACAAUGAGUUUGUGGAUGCAAAGAAUGGCAAGACUUUUCCUGUCGUUAACCCUUCCACAGAGGAAACCAUCUGCCAGAUAGCACAGGGUGAGGAGGCAGAUGUUGAUGUAGCUGUGAAAGCAGCCCGAGCAGCAUUUAAGAGGACAGCUCCCUGGAGAACAAUGGAUGCCUCCCAGCGUGGUGUCCUCAUGCACAAGUUGUGUGACCUGCUAGAGCGCGACAUGAAUUACUUGGCCAGCCUUGACACUCUGGACAAUGGCAAACCAUUCACUGAGGCCAUGUGUGACCUUGAAUACAGUGUGAAGACCAUCCGUUACUAUGCUGGGUGGUGCGACAAGAUCCAUGGAGACACUGUUCCUUGUGAUGGUGAGUUCCUCUGCAUGACAAGAAAGGAGCCAGUGGGUGUUGUGGGCCAGAUUAUUCCAUGGAACUACCCUGUGAUGAUGAUUGCUUGGAAGUGGGGGCCUGCUCUUGCUGCCGGUUGCACCAUUGUUCUCAAACCAGCUGAGCUGACACCGAUCAGCUCCCUCUAUCUUGGGGCUCUGGUCAAGGAGGCUGGAUUCCCACCUGGUGUCAUCAACAUUGUUCCUGGCUUUGGAGCCUCAGCAGGACAUGCAGUUGCUAAUCAUCCUGAUAUUGAUAAAGUGGCAUUUACUGGCUCCACUAUGAUUGGCCGGCGCAUCCUAGAAGCUGCAGGACAGUCAAACCUGAAGCGUGUCACCAUGGAGCUAGGGGGAAAGAGUCCUGUUGUUGUGUGUGAAGACUGUGGAGAUUUGGAUGAAGCUGUAGAUUUGUGCCACACUGCAAUGUUUGGCAAUCAUGGCCAAAAUUGCUGUGCUGGUUCAAGAACAUUUGUGCAUGAGUCUAUCUAUGAUGAAUUUGUGAAGCGAGCAGUGAAACUGGCCCAAAAGCGUCCUGUGGGAGACCCCUUUAAUGAAGAAAUACUUCAGGGACCACAAGUGAGCCAACAGCAAAUGGAGCGCAUUCUUGGGUACAUAGAGAAGGGCAAAGCAGAAGGAGCCAAGCUGGAGUGUGGAGGUGCUCGCCUUGGGAACAAAGGCUAUUUUGUUCAACCAACAGUGUUUUCUAAUGUCACAGACAACAUGACCAUUGCAAGGGAGGAGAUCUUUGGACCAGUGCAAGUUAUUCUGAAGUUUAAGACCUUGGAUGAAGCCAUAGAGCGCUCCAACGACACAAAUUAUGGUUUGGCCUCUGGGAUCGUGACUCGUGAUAUCAACAAAGCCCUAACUUACGCUCAGAGUGUAAGAGCUGGUUCUGUAUGGGUGAACUGUUACGAUUUGUGUCUGCCACAGACACCUUUCGGAGGCUACAAGCAGUCAGGUCAUGGCAGGGAACUAGGUGAAGAUGGCUUGGCAGAAUACUUGGAGAUUAAGACAAUCUUGAUCAAGGUACCAACGAAGGUGUCAUAGACACUCUAGUUCCCUCCAAGCUAUAGGAGUCAUUAGUUCUGAUUAAGUCACCAUAUAAAACCAUACACACAAGAGCACUACUGGAGAUCAUCUUGCUCACUUAUCACUGUUUUUUUGUGAUACUGUGGUUAGUACUUUAUUCUAAAUGUUAUAGUAUUGAAAGACCAAAGUAUGAGCAUGUUUAUGUUUGAGAUAUGUGGAAAGAAAUUAUUAUUUUAUGUAUGAAAGUAUAUUGUAUUGUAAAGAAACUAUAAUAUCUCAAAAAUAAAAUCUUGGAUUAUGUGGUAUCAAUUUCAAGCAGCAUUAAAAGAAUUUAAAAAAAUACGACUUCUGAAAGAUACAAGUAAAAAAUAUAUUUUUGUAGAAUUAUAUAUAUUUUUUUUUUUAAUAAUUUCUUUCAACUCUAUCUUGAAGCUUUUAGCUUUAGCAACAGCAUUUUUUAUGUUAAUGUCUGCGUGAAAAUAUAAUUUUGCUAACAGGAACUUUUGCAUAUUGUGUUUAAUUUGUAUAUAUUACAACAAAUCUGAGUAAUUCCAAUAGUCUUUUCAUUGUUCCAAUUCCAAAAUUUUAUUUUAGCAAAAUUGUGUUGAUUGUAAAAUUCAUUCUUGAACCAUGUUACCAACUUGGUACCUGUAUUGAAAAAAAUAUUAAGUGCGGUUGUCUGAUUUUCAGUGUCAAAACCUAUAAUUUUUAGUAACAUUGAAAGCCUGUAAAAUUGGAAAUAAAGAUUUUGAAAUUGAAAA
Molecule: RNA transcript, 2337 nt
Organism: Penaeus chinensis
Lineage: Eukaryota; Metazoa; Arthropoda; Malacostraca; Decapoda; Penaeidae
Gene name: aldehyde dehydrogenase X, mitochondrial-like
Exons: 14
Source: RefSeq, a predicted model, not a curated record